ACAGAUGACACCCUGAAUCUGUCUUCUGUUCUGAGAGUAUUUUUCUCCCACAGAAUACCAGAUCAUGCUCAGCUCUCAGGAUCUUACUCUUCAGGUGUGCUGGCCCUGCACCAUCUCCUCUCCACGCAGUGCUGUGCAGACAGCAUUCAGGUGGCAGCUCAGCCCUGCUGCCCUUACCUGCUCCUGCUCUGAAACUGCUCACGGGUUGCUGCAGUGAAGACACGUUCUGUGCUCUCCCUCCCCUCACCCACAUCAUUUGGAUUCACAUAAUCAAGCGUCUUGCAGCUGAAAUUGCUCAUGGAAAAAUAAUUUAAAAUUGGUUCAUUAAUGCUCAUUUGCGCAGAAUUCUUAAAUAUGAUAAGAACAUGAGAGAGAAAGAGAAAGGAUCUGAGUGAGAGUAGGAGGAUGUUGAAAGCAACUUUCCUGUAAUUGUAAAAUCUUGUGUCUAAAUAUGUUUAGACAAUGUGAGAAGUCAAUUUAAGAAGCUAGGAUACAUAGAACCACAGCAAGGGAGGAGAUAUCUGAGGGAAUGUACACAUCCCAUGCUUAACCUUUUUAGUUUCCCUGGAUAAUGCAGGAUUCUGAUUUGGUGCAAGACUGAAGUAUCACCACAACAGUCAGAAGCUGCAAUUUGCAAUUGGAGAAA
This 646-nucleotide long non-coding RNA is filed under the name Parus major (Great Tit). Its description in RNAcentral is "lncRNA (ENSPMJG00000012817.1)". Lineage: Eukaryota; Metazoa; Chordata; Aves; Passeriformes; Paridae. The record is from RNAcentral.